GUUCACAUAGUUUAUGUUUACAUAAUUUAUGUUUUAAAACAUAAUUUCUCUUAAGAAAUUAAACUAAGAAGAACCUAAUUAAACUGAUCCAAAAAAUAAACCCAACCAAACCGAAUACAAACCGAACCGAAUAUAAACCGAAACGAACACAAACCGAACUAACUAUGGUUUAUUUCAAUUGGAAAAAUACUAGAACCAAACUAACCAAAUCGAAC
RNAcentral lists this long non-coding RNA (215 nucleotides) under Brassica napus (rape). RNAcentral describes it as "long non-coding RNA (BNAP_LNC027111)". The record is from RNAcentral. Lineage: Eukaryota; Viridiplantae; Streptophyta; Magnoliopsida; Brassicales; Brassicaceae.